AGUAGAGACCAUACGUCACCAGAUAUUCACGUCCAAACAAAACUGAACCAAACCUGUCAGGAUGGGCUGAGCUGGCCGAAAGCUCAUAACCUCCUCACCAUGUCCCUCUGCGCAACCGACUGCCAUGCGCAUAUAUAAGACGUUCCGUCGGUUCAGUGAGCAUGUUUCACUGCUUGAAGACGUGAACGCUAUCCACCAACGAUGAUCCGUGCGUGCGUUCUCCUCAUCCUGGCCACUGGUGCCUGCGCCGGCUACGUGGGCUAUCCCUAUGGCUACUCCUUCGGUGCUCCAACCAUACCGGCCUACACGGCUCCGGUGAGCACCAUCGGACAAGUUGGAACCAUCCCGACGUACGGCUACAAUUACGGAUAUGGUGUCCCUGCUUAUGGGUAUGGUUAUAGCCCCUAUGGUCUCACCUAUGGAUACGUCCUCGGGGGUUUCGGCUAUCCUACAAUCUACGGUAAAAAAUAGAUCUCACGACUUUCCACCUGGCCCGCACCACUUCAGAGAUUUCAUGGCACGAAAGAAGGAAACAAAGCCGAUGUCACCGUCAUGACAAAUUCACAACACAAUGCACAAUAAAGACUCCAAC
Dermacentor albipictus is the source of this 592-nucleotide long non-coding RNA. RefSeq lists it as uncharacterized. The record is from RefSeq and is a predicted model, not a curated record. NCBI's taxonomy places the organism in Eukaryota, Metazoa, Arthropoda, Arachnida, Ixodida, Ixodidae.